GACGAACGCUGGCGGCGUGCUUAACACAUGCAAGUCGAACGGAAAGGCCCUGCUUUUGUGGGGUGCUCGAGUGGCGAACGGGUGAGUAACACGUGAGUAACCUGCCCUUGACUUUGGGAUAACUUCAGGAAACUGGGGCUAAUACCGGAUAGGAGCUCCUGCUGCAUGGCGGGGGUUGGAAAGUUUCGGCGGUUGGGGAUGGACUCGCGGCUUAUCAGCUUGUUGGUGGGGUAGUGGCUUACCAAGGCUUUGACGGGUAGCCGGCCUGAGAGGGUGACCGGCCACAUUGGGACUGAGAUACGGCCCAGACUCCUACGGGAGGCAGCGGUGGGGAAUAUUGCACAAUGGGCGGAAGCCUGAUGCAGCAACGCCGCGUGCGGGAUGACGGCCUUCGGGUUGUAAACCGCUUUCGCCUGUGACGAAGCGUGAGUGACGGUAAUAGGUAAAGAAGCACCGGCUAACUACGUG
RNAcentral lists this ribosomal RNA (468 nucleotides) under uncultured bacterium. RNAcentral describes it as "partial 16S ribosomal RNA". It matches the Rfam family "Bacterial small subunit ribosomal RNA", at positions 28 to 507 of the family's 1533-position model. The record is from RNAcentral.